Molecule: ribosomal RNA, 424 nt
Filed under: uncultured bacterium
Lineage: Bacteria
Description: partial 16S ribosomal RNA
Rfam family: Bacterial small subunit ribosomal RNA
Source: RNAcentral
AAUAUUGGACAAUGGGCGAAAGCCUGAUCCAGCCAUGCCGCGAUUGUGAAGAAUGUCUUCGGAUUGUAAAGCACUUUCAGUUGGGAGGAAGGGGUUGAAGCUAAUACCUUCAAUCUUUCACGUUGCCAACAGAAUAAGCAUCGGCGAACUCGGUGCCAGCAGCCGCGGUAAUACAGAGGGUGCAAGCGUUAAUCGGAAUUACUGGGCGUAAAGCGCGCGUAGGUGGUUCAGUAAGAUGGAAGUGAAAUCCCCGGGCUUAACCUGGGAACUGCUUUCAUAACUGCUGAGCUAGAGUACGGUAGAGGGUAGUGGAAUUUCCUGUGUAGCGGUGAAAUGCGUAGAUAUAGGAAGGAACACCAGUGGCGAAGGCGACUACCUGGACUGAUACUGACACUGAGGUGCGAAAGCGUGGGGAGCAAGCAGG